RNAcentral lists this ribosomal RNA (373 nucleotides) under uncultured Bacteroidales bacterium. RNAcentral describes it as "bacterial SSU rRNA". It matches the Rfam family "Bacterial small subunit ribosomal RNA", at positions 42 to 414 of the family's 1533-position model. Lineage: Bacteria; Pseudomonadati; Bacteroidota; Bacteroidia; Bacteroidales. The record is from RNAcentral.
ACAGGCUUAACACAUGCAAGUCGAGGGGUAGCAGGGUAGCAAUACCGCUGACGACCGGCGCACGGGUGAGUAACACGUAUCCAACCUUCCCAUAACUCGGGGAUAGCCUUUCGAAAGAAAGAUUAAUACCCGAUAGUACUUUAUCAAGGCAUCUUCUUAAAGUUAAAGAUUUAUUGGUUAUGGAUGGGGAUGCGUUCCAUUAGAUAGUUGGUGAGGUAACGGCUCACCAAGUCUUCGAUGGAUAGGGGUUCUGAGAGGAAGGUCCCCCACAUUGGUACUGAGACACGGACCAAACUCCUACGGGAGGCAGCAGUGAGGAAUAUUGGUCAAUGGGCGAGAGCCUGAACCAGCCAAGUAGCGUGAAGGAUGACGG